This 772-nucleotide ribosomal RNA is filed under the name Salmonella enterica. RNAcentral's name for it is "partial 23S ribosomal RNA". It matches the Rfam family "Bacterial large subunit ribosomal RNA", at positions 2031 to 2802 of the family's 2925-position model. The record is from RNAcentral. Lineage: Bacteria; Pseudomonadati; Pseudomonadota; Gammaproteobacteria; Enterobacterales; Enterobacteriaceae. RNAcentral also lists the same sequence under 3 other names.
ACUCAGUGAAAUUGAACUCGCUGUGAAGAUGCAGUGUACCCGCGGCAAGACGGAAAGACCCCGUGAACCUUUACUAUAGCUUGACACUGAACAUUGAGCCUUGAUGUGUAGGAUAGGUGGGAGGCUUUGAAGUGUGGACGCCAGUCUGCAUGGAGCCGACCUUGAAAUACCACCCUUUAAUGUUUGAUGUUCUAACGUGGACCCGUAAUCCGGGUUGCGGACAGUGUCUGGUGGGUAGUUUGACUGGGGCGGUCUCCUCCUAAAGAGUAACGGAGGAGCACGAAGGUUGGCUAAUCCUGGUCGGACAUCAGGAGGUUAGUGCAAUGGCAUAAGCCAGCUUGACUGCGAGCGUGACGGCGCGAGCAGGUGCGAAAGCAGGUCAUAGUGAUCCGGUGGUUCUGAAUGGAAGGGCCAUCGCUCAACGGAUAAAAGGUACUCCGGGGAUAACAGGCUGAUACCGCCCAAGAGUUCAUAUCGACGGCGGUGUUUGGCACCUCGAUGUCGGCUCAUCACAUCCUGGGGCUGAAGUAGGUCCCAAGGGUAUGGCUGUUCGCCAUUUAAAGUGGUACGCGAGCUGGGUUUAGAACGUCGUGAGACAGUUCGGUCCCUAUCUGCCGUGGGCGCUGGAGAACUGAGGGGGGCUGCUCCUAGUACGAGAGGACCGGAGUGGACGCAUCACUGGUGUUCGGGUUGUCAUGCCAAUGGCACUGCCCGGUAGCUAAAUGCGGAAGAGAUAAGUGCUGAAAGCAUCUAAGCACGAAACUUGCCCCGA